GGGUUGUGAGGUUAAGCGACUAAGCGUACACGGUGGAUGCCCUGGCAGUCAGAGGCGAUGAAGGGCGUGCUAAUCUGCGAUAAGCGCCGGUAAGGUGAUAUGAACCGUUAUAACCGGCGAUACCCGAAUGGGGAAACCCAGUGUGACUCGUCACACUAUCAUUAACUGAAUCCAUAGGUUAAUGAGGCGAACCGGGGGAACUGAAACAUCUAAGUACCCCGAGGAAAAGAAAUCAACCGAGAUUCCCCCAGUAGCGGCGAGCGAACGGGGAGGAGCCCAGAGCCUGAAUCAGCAUGUGUGUUAGUGGAAGCGUCUGGAAAGGCGCGCGAUACAGGGUGACAGCCCCGUACACAAAAGCGCAUGUGCUGUGAGCUCGAUGAGUAGGGCGGGACACGUGGUAUCCUGUCUGAAUAUGGGGGGACCAUCCUCCAAGGCUAAAUACUCCUGACUGACCGAUAGUGAACCAGUACCGUGAGGGAAAGGCGAAAAGAACCCCGGCGAGGGGAGUGAAAAAGAACCUGAAACCGUGUACGUACAAGCAGUGGGAGCACCCUUUGGGGUGUGACUGCGUACCUUUUGUAUAAUGGGUCAGCGACUUAUAUUCUGUAGCAAGGUUAACCGAAUAGGGGAGCCGGAGGGAAACCGAGUCUUAAUUGGGCGUUAAGUUGCAGGGUAU
RNAcentral lists this ribosomal RNA (676 nucleotides) under Salmonella enterica subsp. enterica serovar Rubislaw str. SA20030553. RNAcentral's name for it is "bacterial LSU rRNA". It matches the Rfam family "Bacterial large subunit ribosomal RNA", at positions 1 to 710 of the family's 2925-position model. The record is from RNAcentral. Lineage: Bacteria; Pseudomonadati; Pseudomonadota; Gammaproteobacteria; Enterobacterales; Enterobacteriaceae.